UACAGGGGGGGCAAGCGUUGUUCGGAAUUACUGGGCGUAAAGGGCUCGUAGGUGGCCAACUAAGUCAGACGUGAAAUCCCUCAGCUUAACUGGGGAACUGCGUCUGAUACUGGAUGGCUUGAGUUUGGGAGAGGGAUGCGGAAUUCCAGGUGUAGCGGUGGAAUGCGUAGAGAUCCGGAAGAACACCGGUGGCGAAGGCGGCCUGCUGGGCAGUAGCUGACACUGAGGCGCGACAGCGUGGGGAGCAAACAGG
Molecule: ribosomal RNA, 253 nt
Filed under: uncultured bacterium
Lineage: Bacteria
Description: partial 16S ribosomal RNA
Rfam family: Bacterial small subunit ribosomal RNA
Source: RNAcentral